GAGAGGCAGAAGCACAUUCUCUCCUGAAUGUGAAGCUGGCUCUUGACGUUUCUUUCCUGCAAAUGUCAUUCGCAAUUGAUGAUCAUGCUCCUCUUCCUUUGGGAGAAUAAGGAGAUGAAGAGUGCUAUCUGA
Heterocephalus glaber (naked mole-rat) is the source of this 132-nucleotide small nucleolar RNA. Its record names the gene U3. It matches the Rfam family "Small nucleolar RNA U3". From Rfam's summary of the family: Small nucleolar RNAs (snoRNAs) are involved in the processing and modification of rRNA in the nucleolus. There are two main classes of snoRNAs: the box C/D class, and the box H/ACA class. Lineage: Eukaryota; Metazoa; Chordata; Mammalia; Rodentia; Bathyergidae. The record is from Ensembl.